UACGUAGGGGGCAAGCGUUGUCCGGAUUUAUUGGGCGUAAAGAGCAUGUAGGCGGCCUGACAGGUCUGCUGUGAAAACUCGAGGCUCAACCUCGAGAUGUCGGCGGAAACCGUCUGGCUAGAGUCCGGAAAAGGAGAGUGGAAUUCCUGGUGUAGCGGUGAAAUGCGCAGAUAUCAGGAAGAACACCUAUGGCGAAGGCAGCUCUCUGGGACGGUACUGACGCUGAGACGCGAAAGCGUGGGGAGCGAACCGG
This 253-nucleotide ribosomal RNA is filed under the name uncultured bacterium. RNAcentral describes it as "partial 16S ribosomal RNA". It matches the Rfam family "Bacterial small subunit ribosomal RNA", at positions 524 to 776 of the family's 1533-position model. The record is from RNAcentral.